This 205-nucleotide ribosomal RNA is filed under the name uncultured bacterium. Its description in RNAcentral is "partial 16S ribosomal RNA". It matches the Rfam family "Bacterial small subunit ribosomal RNA", at positions 1289 to 1500 of the family's 1533-position model. The record is from RNAcentral.
CAGUUCGGAUCGGAGUCUGCAACCCGACUCCGUGAAGCUGGAUUCGCUAGUAAUCGCGCAUCAGCCAUGGCGCGGUGAAUACGUUCCCGGGCCUUGUACACACCGCCCGUCAAGCCAUGGGAGCCGGGGGGUGCUUGAAGUGCGUCGCCGCAAGGCGCGCCCUAGAGCAAAACCGGUGACUGGGGCUAAGUCGUAACAAGGUAAC